RNAcentral lists this ribosomal RNA (347 nucleotides) under uncultured bacterium. RNAcentral's name for it is "partial 16S ribosomal RNA". It matches the Rfam family "Bacterial small subunit ribosomal RNA", at positions 338 to 682 of the family's 1533-position model. The record is from RNAcentral.
CCUACGGGUGGCAGCAGUGAGGAAUAUUGGUCAAUGGGCGUAAGCCUGAACCAGCCAAGUCGCGUGAGGGAUGAAGGUUCUAUGGAUCGUAAACCUCUUUUAUAAGGGAAUAAAGUGCGGGACGGGUCACGUUUUGUAUGUACCUUAUGAAUAAGGAUCGGCUAACUCCGUGCCAGCAGCCGCGGUAAUACGGAGGAGCCGAGCGUUAUCCGGAUUUAUUGGGUUUAACGGGGGCGUAGGGGGCCUUUUAAGUCAGCGGUGAAAGUCUGUGGCUCAACCAUAGAAUUGCCGUUGAAACUGGGAGUCUUGCGUAUUUUUGAGGCAGGCGGAAUGCGUGGUGUAGCGGU